CUCAGUGUUAGGGACCCCGCCCUCGCGGUGGAGACCCGGCCCGCCUGCUCUGGCCCACGGCUCGUGAUGGUCCGGAUCUCUGCGCGCCCCUAGUCGCCGGCCGCUGCCUGAUUCCCUGAGCGCCAGGCAUGAAUCGCAAGAAGCUGCAGAAGUUGACGGAAACCUUAACUAAAAAUUGCAAGCACUUUGAUAAAUUUGAAGUGAAAUGUCUUAUAAACCUUUUCUAUACCUUGGUGGGAGAUGUAACAGAGCGGCAAGGUGUGGUCAUUGGACUAGAUCGUAAUGCAUUUCGAAACAUCCUGCACGUGACAUUUGGAAUGACAGAUGACAUGAUUAUGGACAGAGUAUUCCGAGGAUUUGAUAAAGACAACGAUGGUUGUGUAAACGUAUCAGAGUGGAUUUAUGGAUUAUCACUGUUUCUUCGAGGAACUUUGGAAGAAAAAAUGAAAUAUUGCUUUGAAGUGUUUGAUUUGAAUGGUGAUGGAUUCAUUUCAAAGGAGGAAAUGUUCCACAUGUUGAAGAACAGCCUUCUCAAACAGCCAUCUGAAGAAGACCCUGAUGAAGGAAUUAAAGAUUUGGUUGAAAUAACACUUAAGAAGAUGGACCAUGACCAUGAUGGGAAGCUGUCUUUCGCAGACUAUGAACAAGCUGUGAGAGAAGAGACUCUUCUACUGGAAGCUUUUGGACCAUGUCUACCUGAUCCAAAGAGCCGGAUGGAAUUUGAAACCCAAGUAUUCAAAGAUCCAAAUGAAUUCAAUGAUAUGUGAAUACCUAAGUGUCUGUGUUGUCUCAAACAAUCAAAUGGCAGAUGUAAGAGUGACAGCCUCCCUUUGCAGAGUCUAUUGAGAAGUCAGUGGAGUGGAGGAGAUCUCUUCCCGGGCAGAGCAGGAUGUGGAGCAGGCCAGGGCCUGCACACCCAGCACGAGGUGACUGGAUUCUGGCCACCCCGUGCCUCCCCCUCUCAUUCUUGGCCUGCCUCAGUCCACCUGAGGCAUGCAGGCGGCUGCUCCAACCACAUGCCCUGUCAGGACCUGUUGCUUUGUGAGGAAGAAUGCAAGAAUAUCAAAUCCCUUCAAAUGCUGAAAGGGAGAGUCCUGCUUUGUGGAGGUAUGGGGGUGUGAAUAGUUAUAGUACAGAAUCAGAAUAUAGAACAAUUAAAGAAUGGACCCCAGGACCCAGAAUAAGAGAGAGAGAGAACUGAGUCUUUUUGCUCCUUGAGUGCAUGAAACCAGAGGUAGCGGAAGUCCUCUGUCUCCUAGCUCCUGGUGAGUAGGUGUAGCACCGCCCCCACCCCCACCCCAGCAAGGCUGCUGCUGCCUUUCUGAGCUGGAGGGCCCCAAGACCUGAGAUUUGCCCAACCACCAGCACCCACAACUGCAUCCCCCAAACGAGCAAACACACGUUCUGGUAAGGCCACUAGGCAAGAACUCCUAAGCACCUUGCCAGGAGAUGGGGUGCCCUCCUUCAGAACCCAUCUGGACACACAGCACCACCUAGAAGCCUUUGUAUAUGCCCAGAGGGGCAGCACAGUUAGGGUUAGGGGUGAGCUCUGCAACCAGGCAGGACAGGAGUACUGCUCUCACUGUCUGCAGCGUGGCCCCAGACAGGUGCCUUGACCACUCUGCAUGCCUCACUUUAACAACUGCCAUGUGCAGCCCUCAGAGUAUCUGCCACAUGGGGUUGUGAAGACUUGAGUAAGUGCCUAGAUAGAAAGCAGUUAGAGUGGUGCCUGGCACAUAGUAGUAGAUUCUUAGUAAAUGUUAGCUCUUACCACUAUUACAUGCAGAUGACUUAUCAUGCAAAUAUUUGUAUGCUUUGGCUGCAUUUCAGGGACUUUGAACCUGUCUUCUCAUUCAGUGUCACAUCCUCAAGAAUAGCUGUGAUAUUGGUUGCUCCUUGGGUCAUCCCUACAGCAUUCAAAUGGCAUUCAUAAGUGCCCCUGACUUCCAGCCUGCUGCAGCUCCUCAGCAGGACUGGAAUUCCUCCAGGAUCUAUGUCCUAAAUGGGCAUGCCCAGAAGGAGCCAAGGCAGGAGCAGUUCAGCUGCCGUGAGGAGGUGAUUAAGAGAGUCCUCAUUAUAUGCGGCAAAAAUAUCUUCCCUGCAAAAAUGCUCAGCUAGGAAUGCAAUGGUUUACUUUCAUAGGAUGCUGACUCUUGGUCAACUUGGAAUCCCUGUUGGUUGAGCAUCCAGCGGCUUUCUCCUUAUAAAAAUAGUGUCCUAGAAGUGCGCAAGUUACUUCGAAAGAACCCUUUCUUAGACCUGUUAUUAACCACCAAAUUGUAAUCCAUUGCUAUGUGAGUUUUAGAGUGUUUUGUUAUCUGGGCUUAAUUUAAGCUAUGGUUGUGUAUUUGUGCAUGUGAGUAUGUGUACAUACACAUACGUGAACUCACACUUACACCCAGUGGGACUUUCUCCUCUCCAAUUUCUGUCUUCACUCCUCAGCUCCACCUGUUUUUGCACUUACUUGCAUGUCUUGCCUAUGAAGCCUCCAGAUGUGUGCACAUGAUCUUCUGCUCCUACAUGAAGGAGAUGACCUCUCUUUCAUUGUUGACUAUUUCUAGUCCCUACACAGAAGACUAUGGGAAAAUAGAAACCAUGUGGGCUCAGAUAAUAAAGGAGAGCUGGACACAGUCUUGGGAUCACAGGUAACAGAUAGGCCUCUGGGUCUUUGAAUGCAACCUUCAGCCCAAAGGCUGCCCCUGAGCACUGCCUCCUUACGCCAGUCUGCAGGAGCAGCACUCUGCCCAUUUAUGAAGGCAGCAGGCACAGGAGAGUAAGCUGGCACAUGCCGACUGCCGAGAGGAUGGAAGAGUAAACCCUGAGUCAGCUAGGCCACACAGACUCUACAUGGUCAUACUAAGUUGGUUCCUUAAUUUUCUCCACUGGGAAGAACACAUAACCUCGAAAAAUAUAAACAGUUGAAGUAAGUGCUGAUAUGAUAUGGCCCACAAUAGUAAUCACUAUAGGAGCCCGUAUAGAAGCUCAUAUAGCUGUCGUUUCAUGGAUAACAUCAAGCUAGAUAAAUGUGAGGGAAAGAGGGAGGUAGAUAGGGAAAGUAAAGAAAAAGAAAAAAGAGAAGAGGCAAGAGGGGAAAAAUUAAAUGCUGAGAAAGAGGAAGAAGAGCAUGAACUUCACCCUUGUCUCGAGAUGGCCAGGUGUGUCGUACAGCAAAAUAAAGAGCUGUGUUUACCUUCUCUUUAGGAAAACACCACUUCUGAUGGAUAUGAAGGGGGAAGUAGCUGAGCACAGGCUCAAGGAAUAAUAAACAAAUCAAGACUUCAGGCUCUAUGGGGAGCAGGAAAGGGCUGCCUUGCUCACAGUAGUGUCCCUGUGCAUCCCAUUCUUGUGGCCCAUGGCCAAGCCUGACAAAUCUGAGGGUAGAGUAGGAUGAUAAAGAGCUCUUAGGAUUGGACUACAUGCUUUCAGGCUCACCUUUUCCCUCUGGUUAUGACAUAAAUAACAAGUAGCUGGGGGAAGUAAGCAUGGAGUGAGCACCUUGACCUCAGAAUGGAAUGAAGGCCACUGUAGGGGUCCAAGAGUAUAGUCCAUGUUUCAGUGGAAGUGAGAGCAUGUACUCAUCCAAGGCAGUUCCCUUCUCUCUGGAAGGUAAAUUUUGGUGUACUGAUGGCACUGUCUGAGAGCACCAACAGUUCAGGGGAAGCUGGCUAGAAUACAGAGUCUCAGGCCCCCAGUCAUGCUGAAUUAGAACUCUCAAUUCACUAGAUCUUACAGUGACACAUAGGUAUAUGUGAGGAGUUCAGCUCUAGAUGGCCUGGAAACCAACCAAGCAUGGCCCUCAGCGUAGUAAAGACUUUACAAUCACAUCACACAUUGCAAAAAGAAAUCACUUAUUUGACCUGGAGAAAUGAAAACUAAGGUUUGAUUUAAUUGCACUGAGUCCUAAAAGAACAACAAAAAAAAAUGGGAGUUGUUUUAAUCCAAAUCCUAACCUAAUUUUACCCAUACUCAAAGAAAUUUAAAAAGAAAAAGGAAAUGGUAUUUAUUGGAGCCAGAAAUAAUUUGGUAAGCCAUAAUAAGGAAGAACAUCUUGAUAGACUGUGAGUCCAGCAAUAGGAUACAUUAUUUCUUUAUUGGAUUAUGAGAAGAUGGCCUAAGUAAGCAGCAGUCCUGGAGAGUUGAGUAGAUCAUGGACUUAUUGACUGGGAAGGAGUAGAACUGAUGUGCUUUUGAGGGCCUGCUAGUAAAUCAAAUAUUUAAAAGAAAUUUUACCUCACUAUGUACAUCAAAUGGAUGAAGUCUCCCUAGUUGCCUUUCACUCAUGUGUCCAUUCACAUACAGAGGCACAUGUACAGAAACAUCAGGAGCAACAUGGGAGUGUGGAGAUGUACCAGAAAUCCCCUUGGUAUGUCAUUAUAUCUUCACGCCAUCACUGACAUCCUUUGGGUGCUGAACAGCAUGGCCCUCAUCCUUAGUAAUUUGUGGCUUGCUUUGUACUCAUGCCGAGAUUUAAUCCCUCAAGAAAAUAUUCCUCCCCCAAGACACACAUCCUCUUGUUGAUCUUCACCUCCCCCUGCCUGUUCAGCCUACACUGCCCCUAUUAUGUGGCCCAGCCACACACAUACACAGAGUACCCUGCCUGAGGGGGUGUCAGGCAAAAGGACAUUUAAAUAAAUAGGUAAAAUAUGGGCUCUUCUUUCUCCCCUUUGCCUGAAGCACACUUUCACAACCUCCCCUCUCUGUGCCACCAACACCCACUAACAGUCUCCACUGCCAAUCACCUGGCAAUAGUUUUCUCCCAGUCCUACACAAAAUGGAGUUUGAAGGAAAUACAUAUGCCUAGGUGAAAAAUUCCAGUAAAGAAGGAAACAAGACUUUUAAAUUCCUGUCAUUGGAGAAUCUUUUGAGUACGUCAAUCACUGUUUUGAUCAAAAAAGUUAGUAGUGCGUGCUUAAUCAUUAAUAGCAAAAUCUUCUCAUUGUUCCAGCACUGAGUAACAAAUCACAAAAGUAAUAUUAUUGAAAACUAUCAAGUCAAAUCCUCAUUAAUGAGUCAGAGAGACAGUUAAUAGAGCUCGAAGGAGUGGGACCAUCUGUGCAUUAGCAGAAAAAUUUACCGCUCCUUCUCUCAUCCAUGCACAUUGCUAAUGGGAUCAUACUGCUACUUAUUUCUUAAUGUAUCUCUCCUUGUCUUUCUGAACAAAUCCAUCCUGUAGAUGUCUCUCAGAGCUGGAAGAAAAUUAUUCAGAUUUUCAGGGUCCAGUAACAAAUAGCAUUUGGUUUUACAAGAAGCUUAUGUGUUGAUUCUGAUAGAAAAGAACAACUAGCCACCUCCUUAAAAGAGCCUUCUAAUCUUAACAAAUCCCUGUUUCCAUGAAUGAUUGGUUUUCUCUCUCUCCCAAGAUCACCCACUGGUUUAUACACAGCUUGAACCCGUAUAUGUCAGAUCAGUUUGCUUCUUGAAAACCAUAAUAAGGAAAAGAAUUCACAACCAACAGACUGAAUGAAGACAGCCGAGGUCUCACCAUGGCCUGUGGCAGGGAGGGAGAGGUAAAAAGUGUGGUGUUUGUCUCUCUCUUUUCAUAGCCAUGUUGUUAUAGACAAUCAAAUGGCGGAUGUAAGAGUGAUAGCCUCCCUUUGCAGAGUCUGUUGAGAAGUCAGUGGAGUGGAGGAGAUCUCUUCCCGGGCAGAGCAGGAUGUGGAGCAGGCCAGGGCCUGCACACCCAGCACGAGGUAUGUGACUGAAAGGCAAGGAGCUGGCCUGCGGCAGGUGCAACGCAGCCAGUGCCCGUCAGCCCCAGGAAAAGAAAACCUGCAGGUGCAGUUGGGACAUGUCCUGAGUCUCCAAAGCCACGCGUUUUUCUGAAUAGUUGUCCUAUCUUCAUUGUCUGCCUGCAAGAUUAUGGUUUGCAGUGGGAGGGGAUGAGAGGGAGGGAGUGGUUUGGUGGAGUCUUCAGUUUUGGCAGCUUUGAUGACACACACAGGCAGCUCCAGAAGUGAGGUGCAGUCCUAGGAGACUGAGACUCUGCACGGGGAGCGGUAGUGGUGGGGAUGGACCCACCAACCCCACACAGCCCCUUGACCCCCUGAGAGGGCUCUCCUGUCUCCAGAGGCCGUCAUGGACACAUGGAGUUUGUUGGCCCCAAUUCAGCACUGCCCUCCUGUCCUCCACACUGGGCAUCUUUUUCCCUCCACCUUCAGCCAUCCUUGGGCAGAGUGACUAGUUAAGCUAGUCUCAACUCAGUGCUCGAAAGCCCCAGGACUUAAAAGUGCUACCCAGAUUGUCUUGGCACAUCCCAGGAACCAACGGGGUCUCAUACACACUGUCAGUACUCAGUAGUUCUGUGUUAAAGGACCUCUCGGCCCCUCUGGGAGGACUCCCCUCUCUCCUGAUAUCUGGGUGCCAUCAAAAACUUAGACUGGGAUCCACCAUUUGAAUCUAACCCUCUACAUUCUCCAAAAGACUUUGAUCCUUAGUGUCUAAUAUUUCUGUCCGUAAUUUCAUGAGAAAAUGGGAGACUCUGUACUAAGCUAAGCUAUCAAAGCUUUAGAAGAUAAAUGUAAAAUUCAACAACAACAUCAUUGUGGUUUAGUCUAUUAAACCACCUCAGUACUAUUACAGGGAAGACAGGGCUUAUGAUCUAAGUCCACAGAGGGGAGCCUGGGGCGUGGCCUCCCACAAGAUGUGGUUACCACUCAAAGUCUCACACCCGCCUGCUGUCACUAUCUAUGUGCUUUUUUUUUUUUUUAAUUUUCUAUUUAUUUGUUUCAUGAGUUUUUUCUUUCUGCCAGAAUGUAAAUCCAUGGAUGCACAGACCUUGCCAAUCUUAUUCACUAUUGACUUCUCUGACCUUGCGUGCAGUAAGCACUCAAUAAAUAUUUCCUGAGUGAGUGCGUGACUCCAUCUCAAGGCAUGCAUUAUUGGAAAACCUCUUUUUCGCAUUGAGUCUCAACAGAGUUUGUGUGCUCAUGGUAGUGUUGUUUUUUGAGAAAGUUGAUAUGAUACCACUCCUGUCCAGUAGUUUCCACACAGACAUCUUUGCCACAUAACUUAUUGGCCAUAAGGCAACUUUGCCAUAAAAGAUAAAAUCAUGAAAAAUUAAAGAGGGGCAUUAAUUAAAAAAGACAUAAUGAAACAUGAAAAAAUGAAUAACAAAAUUAAAAAGACUUUAUAGCAAAAUACAAAAUAUUUGAAAACAUUUAAACUGUGUGCAUGUAGAUUCAUGGUGAUACUGUGCAAAAAAAUGAUUUUAUUUUUGUUUGUGGAUUGUACCUAACUAAGCACUUUUCUUUGUUCUAUGGGAAAUGUAGGUCCAACUCUGGGCCUUCUUUUCUCCUCCAAUGUAGUGCGUUUCAGAGUAAGAAAGCAACUGUUGGGGCAAAUCAUCCUUACCUGGUGGCUUGAUAAAGCCAUCAAUAACUGGAAGAAAUGCUAACUGUUUUAAGACUACCACGUCUACUUGUCACUGUAUUGACCAUUAUAAGGGCUAGCUAAGAUUUAUGUUACUUGAAAAUGCGAGUAACUGUGAGAACUUUGAAUGAAGAAAUGAAACCAAACUGACAAUGAAAACCAAAAACAGUCAACCAGUAAUUUUAUUUUUUGUGGCAAAAUUGUCUUAUGGCCAACUAGUUAUGUGGUGAAAAUGCUUGCAGCAAAGAUAUCUGCAGUAAAACUAUCUGAACUGACACCAUCGUGUAGUCAACAGUAUACAGGGAGGGGCUGACUGAGUUUUCCACAGUCCAGGGCAGCCCCGAUGGCCUGUGUAUGAAAUCAAGAGCAGGAGUCAAUGUUUUUAUUCUACCCAAUAUUUCAAGGGCCUCAGUGACAUCCUGUUCAUUUUGGUCACCAAACAAAAUUGAAAACAGCCCCUUAGAGAACAAAAAGGAGUUAUCCAGGGACACCUGUACACCUGGAAAAGUUACUAGGAUAAAUAUUUCUUUGCCUAGAGAAGAGUAAGAGCGGUUCAAUGCCUUUACUUGAACUCGUACACAUGUAAGUUUCUUACAUGGAAUAGAUCUCCAAAAAUGGAGCAAAAGUAAAUAGACUCCAAUUGAAGUGUAUAGUAAGGUUGUUUUGACUUAAAUAAAGAUUAUUCUAUUGAUAAAACUAAAACAAGCUAUGACACUCUUUAAGAAACUAACAUCAUUGUGAAACGUAAAAAUUAAACUAUAAAAUAUUUUAUUAUUCCUAAGAUGAGCCCCAGCAGGGCUGGGUAACUGAAGGAUUCCUUUAGGAUGAUCAUUCUGUUGAUCUUCAGGCCCUGGGUAAAGUUAAAAUGUUGAGAGUUUCAGAACUCAUAGGUUUUUAACACAUGGCUAGCCACAAAAUCUUAACUUUUAAAAUUAGUGAAUGUGCAGGUCAACAGAAUAAUAAACUACAUGGUAAAAGUUACCCUGACUGAGAAAAAUCUUCCUUCCUUAGCAAGUAUAUGUUACAUUCUUAGAAAUGGACAAUGUCUGUGCCAGUUAGGAGAAGGUGUUAUAGCAAUUUGAUGCUUCUGAAAGGUUGCCCAGAUUCUCAGCACACACUAGAACACUUUAACAAGACAGUGGACUUCUGGAGUUUCUCCAAGUCACUUUUGCCAUGAUGCUCACAUACCUGGCCUGCCCACGUCCUCUCACACCUCCACACCUUUUUCAGAAACAGCCUUCCUUCUACCCUCUCUCGCCUGAAAAACUCCUACUCUCUCUUCACAUCAAAUUUCACCUCCACUAUAAACCUUGCUGGUCCCUGUCAAGCAGUCUGGCUCCUAAGCCCAUUGUCCAGACCUCUCUUACACCAUCAGAUAGCAUUGCACUCAUUUAUCAACUUUGAUUUCACUGAGACCAGGAUUAUAAUUCACCUCAGUGCCCUUGUCUGGCAUAUAAUAAUUCCCCAUUAAAAUGAUGGAUAUAUGAAGAGUGUUCUCAAACUGAACUCAUAGGCUCUAGAGGACUCUAAAAUUUCCCCCAAACAUUCCCAGAAUUCAGAUCUUCUACCCUUGUGAAUGACAAAUGUCUAUGUAGAUAAUCCAUUCUAUACUAGCCUCAUGGUACCUAACCCUCUCAACAAGCAUGCCACAGCACAGGCCUGCUCAUCACUGGAACAUUCUCCUCCAAAGUUUUCAUCUGAUUAUUUUAAACUUUGAACAUAGCCUCCUAAAUUUCUACCUCUCAGUCUCCAGUCUCAUUUCAUUUUAUCUUCCAUGUCAUAAACACCUCCACUACCUUAAUCCCUAUAUUUUCUUCCAAAUUAUCAACUUGCAUUGACCUUAUUUUCUUCUCUUUCCCCAGCAUUCCUUGUCCCUUUUCUUCAUCUGGGUAACUCCUCCUCAUGCACCAGACUUGCUUCUGGCCUUGCCUCUUUCAAGAAACUCUCUCUGGUGGCCCUUGGUGAGAUGUUAAUACAUCCUCUUGUCACCCCAUUGCUGUAUUCAGCCUUUUAUAAUACAAUUUCCUGUCAGUGUAUCUUUAUAGUCUACAAAAGAUAAGCUCAUCAAGGGGCAAAAUAUACCUUAUUCAUAUGCAAUACCAUGUCAAUAAAUGACUGUUAAUCUCUCACCUUGUGUAAAAAUUCUAUAAACAGCCUGGUCAGGGUCUGUAAAGCUGAAGGAUUUGCAGAGGAGAGAAAGUUUUCUGGAUCCUUGGAAAGUUAGAGCAUCCUAGGAGUAUUGUUAAGAUCCAAUAUGUCCAAACCUAUUCAGGUCUUUCUCUACAGGCUUAAAAUUCCAAAUGAGAGAACAAAAUACUUCUUCAUUCAGGAGCUGACAUAGGUGAAGAAGUUUACUUUCCAUUUCCCCUUUUGCCCACAGUGCAAUGCAACCACCAGCUUCUUGAAGACUUCUGUCUGUCUCAGGUUAAUCUUGGGUUUUUCUACAAUUGACAGUUGACAUGAACACUCAGCACAGGUACUGUGGGGUGCACAGCCACAUAAGAAAACAGUAGGUAGUUGAGUAUCUUAGGGGAAAUUUCAAAAUAUUAUUCACCCCAGUACUCUCGGUGAAUUACAUUAUGAGUCCAUCCUUCCUUCCUCUGCCAACUAGGAGUCUAUUCAUCCUUGAAGGUGUACGUCAAACUCUACUUCCAUGGCACACCUCUCACCCUAGAUUCAUUAAUAAAAAACAAAAAUUGAAAAUGACAGAGGUAUGCAAGAAUUCCUAUCCUGUCUUUUGGGUCCUUGAUGCCAUCCUUGUCCUUAUCACCAAUUUGGUACAGUUUUGUAGAUUUAAGAUACCAGAGAGACUACCACUACCCCAACACGUAUUCAUAUUUCAGCAUCAACCAGCACAGUAUCUACCAUGCUAUAGGUGUUCCAUAAAUAUUUAUCAGUUGGUUGAUAAAAAGAAUACACUAAUCACUGAUAUAAAAGGAAACAUCUCCCAGGAAGCUAAAGGUCAGAGAUUCUAGUAAACAGGACUGCCAUUUUUUAGAGUUAUCCUGGUCACCCAUGAAAAAAAAAACCUAUUUCUCGGAAGUAUUUGUUCAAGAACCACAUACUGAGUCAAAUGGUUGGCAGUGCUGGUUAAAUAGUAUCUAUGUCCUAACCUGGGUAACUGCAGGAUUUUUAUUAUUUGUGUGGUCUUUUUGUACUUUGCAAAUCACUUUUAUAUCCAUGACUUCAUUUAAUCUUUGUGACCGUCCUGGAAGUGGAUGGGGUAGAUGUUAUGAUUAAUGGAUGAAUAAACUGAGGCACAGAGAGGCCAGGAGACUUCAGCCCCAAAGUCUUCAUAAGAGAAAUGAAUAUGGGCAAGAUUGCAGUGCUGGCCCAGAGUGAUCCAGCAGCUUAGUAGGAUAAAUAAAAUUUACAUGCACCCAAAUAGAAGAGUGGAUAAAUGCUGAAACAGAGGUCUGACUAAAGUGUUAUGAAACACGAAUAGAGAUACAAAGACCAACUUCUCUGACAUGCGCUCUCUACCCCAAAAGAGGCCCUCAUCCAGAAGGGGCCUGAUUUCACAGGACCUGAGAAAGCACUCCAGCACGCAGACCUUCCCAAAUGCUGCAGGUUCUGAAGGGAUGAAAGGGGCCUUGAAUGUGUGCACUACAAUAAUUAUGUUUGUUUUAAUGGAGCAAUGAGUGCUUCUGUUGUGCUGUGGUGCAAAGGCCUAAUUAUUCAAACACAGCCAUUAGUUCCCACACAGCAAAGAUGACAGCAGAUGUUAUAAAGAUAGCAUCUCUUGGCCAUUUGCCCACCGGGCCCAGCCACAAGGACACUUCAAAAGCAAUAGCAGCUCCUGCCAGGAGCAUCCCACCACAUGUCCUAAGACAUCAGAGCCCAAAGUGGACUUGAGACAUCUGGAGGGAGAAAGGGGUCAACAUGGCAGUAACAGCCAUUCCUGCUACAGGUCUCAGGUAGAUGAGGCAGCAGCUGGGCCUGGUUAGAACUGAGUGAUCUGGGUUUCCUGGAGCCCUGUGUCCCACUGGCUGUUUUCACGCAGACAAGCAGCUCCCAUCAGGACACACAGCCUGUGUCAGGAACUCAUUUCAAACUUACAAAGCUGAAAGGAAAUCAUUCAUUUGACUGGAGAACAAGAUGUACCCAGAAACCCAUCCAAAUUCUUGCUGCCACCACCAGGAAAAAAUAUAUAUAUAACUAGCUGAAUUUGUGUGGUAUACUAUUGCUCAAACUUGAGUACUCAGAAGCAGGCACAGGCCUGCCUGCAUUUUUCCUAUCCCAGCCCUAUGAGUAACAGUUAGGAAAACACAAAGGGCUUUAAAAAGUUCAAAGAACUAAAAAAAAAAAAAAAGUGACUGCAUCAUUAUCACCACAAAACUGCUGAAUGUUUAGACUUCUAUAAACUGAAAUAAUUUUUAAGUUGAGAGACAAUCAGGGGUUAGUUUUUCUCUGCAUCAACCAUAGCAAGGAGAUUUCCUGGAAGUGGAAUCCCUUAAGGCUUUAGUCUCUUUGUUUCCUAUGCAUGCAUGUGCAUAAGUGCAUGCAAACACACAUACACAUCCCUGUCUCUAAUAAGCAAGCUGCCUGGAAACAAGAGACCUGGAAAGAAGGAGAGAGCUCUAAGGAAAUACUCCUCUUGAAAAGAUUUCUGCCACCUUGUUCCUGAAUCACAUUUCACUCUGGCUUUUCGUCUCACUUCCACCAAACCAUAGAAAGAAUAUCUCCCAGAAAAAUUGCAGUGUGAAGGGUUCUCAGUUUAAAAAUAAAAAAGUGGAAAAACUGCCAUAACAAUGAGGGAAACGACACUCCAUUCCUGCUAGGACAGACUCUGAACAGAGCAAAGAUCUGCCAUCAUGUGGAGACUUCUGAAGGAGUGGAAGGCGGAGGUGAAAAGUGCUAAGGUCCUACAGGAUGCCCCUCCACAGCAGCAUGUUGUUAAAAAGUCCUUUUUGGUGAAGGAUUUCCCAGGUCCAAUGCAUUGCUCUUCUUUUUUCCAUGUAGAAACGGAAAGAAAAAUCUAGCUAGGAAUGAAGUUAAAGAACUUGCUUUUUAGCUCAGGAGGAGGAAUAUGAACUCCAGAAAGACCCACAGAACUCAGAAGGGCUCUGGAAGUAUACGAUUAAAAAAAAAAAUAAGCAUACAGUAAAAACAUUAUAAAUAACAGUCGAAAUAUUAACUACAAGAAGUAGCAAUGAGCACAUUGGCAUGGCUGGCUUUGUACCAGCUGAAGCAGAGGAAGGUCAAUCAUGGCUCUUUACUAAGAACACAAAGAAUUUUACACAUCUGAAAAGAAUCUGGAGAUAGCACUUAAACAUAUAUUUUAACACUAAAGCAAUAAAAUACCAAGAAAUCACUAAGUGCCAUCCUGGGAGGUCAGGUUGAGUGGAGACAGUGGAGACCAUGUAAAUCAAAGGUUGGUCCUGUAGAUGAAAGUGGGGCCCAGGCAGCUCUCAGUCCUCGCAGCUCGCUUGUGGGUGUAGGACUGAGAAUCAAAUGAGGGAAGCUUCUGUUACUACUCCAUUUAACAGAUAAGGAAACUGGGGCCAAGUAACAGGUAAUUUAGCAAAUAAAUAGCACAGAAGAGCUCUGACCCACAGCUUGCCGUCUUCAGGCCCAGCACCCUCAACUUCUGCACAAAACAGCUUUGUGAACCAACGACCUCAGACCUGGAAUCACAAAUGGAAGAUGAACUAAUGGAACUAGGUGAGUCUUGGGUCUACAUUUGCAAAUACCUCCUAGAAAAGUGGCCUCCCUCUCUCACCCGGUCACGAUCUAUGUCCCAUGGCAUAGCUGGGAGCCCAGGGACAGGGUUGUGGGUGGGACGAUGCCACUGUCUUUAGUAGGUUGAUGCCCUGUGUGCAAAGAAAAGCUCAAAUCGCUAAUGCCACCCUACAAAGUCAGUACUUGAUUUCCCUGACAUGUUUCUUCUGAACAAAUACCAUAUUCUACAUUUUUCUCUUCACUUUCAACAGGAAAAACACUAAAGCAAAAGCAGGGUAGCUUUAGCUUCCACAGGCAGCAAUAUAGCAAUGGGUGACAUUGAGCUACAGAUUUUUUAAGACCUUGAUGAAAAGAGACUGAAAAAGAUGUUCCAACAAUCGACACAGCCCAUCCAGACUUGGUAUGUGGGUCCAACUGGCACUAUUCUUAAAGGCUGGAGUGCUCAGCCCCCAAGAAGCAGGACCCAAAUAAUCAUACAACUGCUCUUUAAGACCAAAGGCCAACCCAUGCUCCCGUGCAGGACGCAGGAUUCCUUUAGCAGAAAGGAAUAUUUUCCACUGUCGAUCUUUGUAGGAAGAGGCCAUUCUCAGAGUGGGUUGAAGUGAGGGAGCAUGUCUCCUUUGUGGGGCCAGCUAUCAGAACUGAGGUUUUCUGGGAUGGGGAGUAGGUGGAGGUUGAGAGGAGGCAGUAAACAAAGGGAUGGUGGUGUUUGGUGACACUUAUGGAGAGCACCCUGGCCAGGGUUCUUACCUAUCUUUGUGCACGCACUGCUUUUGCUUCUGUGAGGCCUCUAAACUGCCUUCUCAGAAUAACGUUAUAAUACACAAAAUUAAAUAUGAUUAAAGAAAAGCAAUUAUAUCGAAAGAGGUUGUAUCCAUACUCCCAUUGGUUAAGAACUCAUAAGGGAGCUCAAGUGAUCUAAAUUUCAGCAUAAAAAGUACAUGUGGAAGAAAAGGUAUUAUGUGGUCUGAUUUUGUAGUCUCAGUCUGUCAUAGGCCAUUUGGCUUGCCGCUUCUGAUAAAGGACACCUGGCUCCUACAGGAUUCGGGAGUCAGAGCAUCCGAGUCACACUACCAAAGCCACUUAGAUUCUGUAUCACACUGGAAUGCCAAAAGAUAGGCUCAAAAAACUAAUGAAGCUAUGAUCUCCAAGUACAAAGAUAUUUAUAUAGAAUCAUGUUUUUAAUAAAUUGUAUUGAAUAGGUUUGUUUUUAUAGGACAUUAACACAUUAUUAUUUUAUAUUGCUUUUCUUAUGAGAUACUCAAAUCAUAAAUAAACCCAAGGAUAUUCUCUCAGGGACAGAUAAAUAUAGGAUAUCCAGGAUUCGGUGUUAAUUUUGUUUUAUACAUCUUCAGAGUGGUGUUCUAAUGACAAACACCUGCUGUUACUUAGAAGUUUUGAAAUGGAACCUGAGAGCGGCCCUAUGCACCCUGGGGCCCCAGGGUCAAGAGGAAGCACAUUCAGCAGGCUCACGCACCUGCUUACCUUCUCCUGUGGAGCUCUACAUCCUGAGAAGGGCAUCCGCACAUUUGGAGGCACUGUCAUUACCCACAGAGCUAAGUACACAAGCAAGUCCGCGCCUGCCACUAGUUGCCUCCAGUAAUCAUAGACCCAGACACACGACUCUGGAGGAGCCAGGAGACAGCCAUCACCCACUUGCAGUCCGACAACCACCAUCAGGACCCUGGCAUGCCUUGACCCACCCCACUCCAUCCCCACCCCACCCUGAGUCCCAGGGUCCAGUCAAAGUGCCAGCCAGAAGGUGCAACCUCCUCUUCCCUACCUGUAGCCCUGGUCUUCACUCUCCACACUCUGUGGGCCACAGUCCUCUCUACCAUCACCACCCUAAUAUAUGAAGAUAUGAGAAAGGGAGCUGUGGAGAAGGGGCUGACCUAAUGUUCAAGGCCUUUCCUGGAUCCUAGCCAAGUGAGAGCUGAGGUCUCAUACAAUGGCUUCUCUGCAGCAGCUCUUUAAAAGAGGCUUUUGCAAUUUAUGGUAAUGUUUCUCGUUUUUAUAUUCAGUCAGUUCUUCCCAGGUUAACGGGCAGCUCUGAUUGCCGUGAAGCCCAAGGUCCAACGGUAAGUCACAGUGUGAACUCACUUCCUAGUAGCACCUGGGGAAGACCUGAACCAUUCUGAGCCUCCUCUGUAGCCAGGAGGGCAGUGCUGGCCCAAACUCUUCUUUACAUCUAGUUUUCAGAGCGUGCACAAGCCCACUUUUCUCCUUACUCCUUCAGCCUAUUUUCUCCUUACUGACUUCUCACACACAGUGGCUUCUGCUCUGUGGGGGAUUGCAUGAGGAUUUCUCUGCUCCUUUCAUGAGCCCCAAAGAUUUUUAUACCCAAGCAAACCCUUUGUAAGGUCUAUUCCAGUUCCUAGUCAAAGCAUCGGGGGUUCAUAUACUCAAGAACUUAGGAAGAAGUGCUGGAAGGAAAAAUCUCCAGAUAAUAAAGUCUAAGCAAUGUUUAAGCAUCAAACCCAUCACUUCUUUUCUUUUGGAGCUGCCAAAUGGAAAUAAUAUUCCGAAGGCAAGAGAAUAAAUUUCUCAUCUCUAUGAAAAUCAAGCUUCCAAGAAAGAGAAAAAGAAUAAUGAAAGAAAAGAAUCUAAGACCAGGUAAACUCAGGAAGAUAUUCUACCUUAUGCAUCUUAUUCUUCUGCAGAAUGCCAUCAUGUCAUCCACCUCUUCAGGAGAAGAAAGCCCUGCAGAGAAUGCUAACAUCUCAUUUUCCUAUUACUAAUUUUUACAAUGCAGGAGCAUUUGAUCAAGGCAGUCUUAACCAAGAGCUGGAAUGGAUGCUUAUCUCUGGCUCCUGACACUGUCCUGCAGGCUCACGGCCCCAGGUGAAGCCCAGACACCUGAGGUGCCUUUGAGUAGUGAAGACGCUAAUCCUUCCCUAAAACCGCAGCUCUAAAACCCUGGCAGAGUGCACUUGGCUUUAAAACAUUCUUUUGUAUGUCAAACCUCUGGCCUAUUGCUUUGAAAGGACACCCACACCAAGCUAUUUGUGGCAGUUCUUGUGGCUGAGCACUUUGCAAGACACUAAAGAAACUAAUCUCCUCCCCUCCCAAAAUACACAGGCAAAAGUGUGUGGAUAUGCUGCAAAGAACAUGGGAAUACAGGUACCUCUUCAAGAUCCUGAUAUCAGUUCUUUUGCAUAAAUACUCAGAUUUCUGGAUCAUAUCGUAAUUCUAUUUUUACUUGCGGAAAUGAUCUAAUAUUCAUCAACAGAUAAAGAAGUUCCAUACAGUGGAAUAUUUUUCAGCCUUGGAAAAGAUGAUCCUGGCAUAUGCAACAACAUAGACAAACUUUGAGGACACUAAGCUAAGUGAAAUAGGCCUGUCACAAAAAGACAAAUACUGCAUAAUUCCACUUAUUUGAUGUGUCUAAAGUCGUCAAACUCAUAGAGAAAGUAGACAGGUGGUUGCCAGGGUUUGGAGGAAGGGGAAAUGAGGAGUGUUCAAUGGGUAUAAAGUUUCAGUUGUGCAAGACGAAUAAGUUCCAGAAAUCUGCUGUACAACGUUGUACUUAUGGUUAACAAUAUGUACUGUAAACUUAAAAAUUUGUUAAGAGGGUAGAUCUCACGUUAUCUAUUCUUAUCACAAUUUUUUAAAAAAGCAAGCAUGUGGAAUGACAGCUCCCAGCAUUCCCUCUGCAGCCUUGUAGAACGUGAAGCCUUUGCUCACACCACAAACUCUGUCUGGAAGAUAAUUUUCUCCUCAAUCCUCUUCCUGCACCUGUGAGGUGAAUGGGCCCUAUUCCUCUGUUAUAAGGAGAAGGCCACUGAGGCUGUCAGAUGCUGCAUCUCGAAGACCCUUUCUCUGCCACAUCAUACUGAGCACAGCAAGCAUGCGUGGCAUCCUCCCUGUGGUUACAGACCCUCAGGUCCCUGGCUUGGGGAAGACGGUGUUAAUUUGUGAUGGUGGUUUUGAGGAGUAAAAGAGUUAUUUAUAUUAGUGUGGUAUGUACUUAGAACAGUAUCUAGUGUUAGCUAUUAUUUGUAUUGUCAUUAAUAUUAUAUCAUUUCUUAAAAACAUUUUCUCUGGUAUGUUUUGGUUCCCUUAGACACUAUUUCUAUAAGUUUAUGUUGUUUUCCAUAGGAAGGCUUGGUUAAUUCUAUGUUGGGCCUGAGUUUAAAUAAUCAAACUUCCUUUUUACUAGUCUCACUUAAAAACCACAGUCAUUGAAUGAAAUUUGUUGAAAUGUAGCAACUGCCCUGUGAAAUGGAUACUACAAGGGUGUGGUGACCCUGCAUGUAUCCUGGUGCCAAUACUUGUGUGUGAUUAUUUUAUUUGUUUUUGUGGUGUGUUUUGUUUCUGGCUGGAAGGGAGGUGGGUUUGAAGAGGUUAGCAAUCAGGAUUGUUUUCCAGGAGUCAUUCUUCUGGAACUGGAUCUUGUUCCUACAAAAGUUUCCAAGUUUCUCUUCCUAUUGCAGUAACUGGAAUGUAUAUUCUCUCUAUAUACAGAUCAAUUAAAGGAACCUACAGGAAUCACUAUGGUAGAGUCAGUCUGGGAACCCCAUUUACAGCAUGGGAACUGAGCAAUCAAGCUUUUCACAGUGACUGAAGCUGCAGGUUUAACAAUGCCAAGGAGGGAUGGGCCCAGUCUUCCCAUGAAUUCAUUAAUUGUGUUUAUUAUACAUAUUGUCUACCUAUGUCUUUGAGGAAUGGGAUCAAAAAGUAUGAGUGACAACAUCUUGAAUACAGAACUGUGGUUCCUGCUCAGUCCAGGUUAAAGGGAAUUCUGUUUCUGGCACAGCUACUGGGGUCCUAGCUCUUCCUAACAGUCUAACCAGCCCAGAGAAAAUCUAAGCAGUACAUUCCACCCUACUGGUGAAGCUUAAAGUCAAUUUUAUAAAUAUACAUAGAUCACCUAGAGAAAAAAGUAAUUUAAGUAGGGAGAAAAUUAUUUAUCUUUGUUUGAAAAAAAGUCCUGUAAAUAUUUAAAUCUGACUGUGGAAGACAGUUGCAUAAAUGAGUGGACGUGGCCAGGUUGCAGAGCAGCUAUGCUUCCCUGUCACUGCUCCAUUAGAGACUGAAGGGCUGCUUCCCAGCAUGACGAUAGCUCCCAUGGCCCCGAUACCUGGCCUGGUCCCAGAAGGAGUUUGGGAAGGGCCUGGCCCAGUUUGUGGGGAAAUCUCUGCCCCAGCAUUGGGAUUCUCCUUUGUCUAUCCUCCAGCAACAGCUACUGGAGUACAUCCCCUUCAGACACUAUUUGUUUAUCCAGUCUUUACUUCCUGUCAUUUGGACAGUCUCACAUAUAUAUGCAGACCAGCAGUGCCAUGCACUAGGGCUUUUGCACACAGACCCAAGUGGUCAUCUAAUUCAUAAUUAAGUAGCAAAUGCUUUAUAAGGGAGCAUAACAAAAAAAAAGUGCAUAUUGAAAGAACUAUUUUGUUCACUUCACUUGAAUUUCACUUGAAUAAUUACACUUGAAUAACUACACUUGAAUUUCACUUGAAUAAUUACAAAAUCCCCUAGAAAACUUGAAAAGUAGCCUACAGCCUCAAAGAUUCACACUAAGGUAAUGUUUUUUGUACUGUCUUCAUAUCUGUAUUUAUCCAUUGACUGGAAUUUACUCAAUAAUCACUACUUGAGUCCAAGGUCUACUUUUUAUUAUUAACCUCGUGGUUGGUUUUACCUGUGUUAACUGGUUUGAAUCCGGAUGACACUUUAUCAUAAUGAUAGACUAUAAUAAUUUUAGAUACAAAUUACCAAGAAUAAUACGUGUUAUUUUACAAGAAUUUAGAAGGGCCCAGUCCCGUCCCCAUACCCAUGGAAUUUACAAUCUACUUUUUGUGUAAUGCCAUGUUCACUGUCAAUAUACAACCCACAAUAUCUACUAUUAAUAAUUAGGUCAAUUAAUUGUCUCACUAUUGCAAUAUGUACACCUAUUUUGAUAUAUGUCAAAAAAAGUCACCACAUACAUUAUGAGUUUCAAAGGUAAUUCCAUGAAAAGGAAUCAAGUAACUGAUCUUGUUAGGAGCCACUGUCAACAUGUUCUUCAAGUAAAAUAUUACAACUUCUUAAAAGGCUUUUUCUAAAACUAUACUUAUAUUUAAUUUUAAUUGGUGAGCCAUUCACCAAACUCAAUUGGGUAAUUAACAAGUGGAAAAUACAUGUUUUGCCAACAGCAGUGGUGUGCUGAACAAGCUCAUAGUAGCUCCACAAGAAACACUUGUCAAAUUUUUAGAAGUUUUUUUUACCUGUUUGUUAACCUUUACCGUUUUAAAUAUUAAAUUAUAUAAACUUACAACUUCAUAAAUGAUAUUAAAUGCAAAAGUAAUAACUCACAGUUCAUCAAUUCCUAAACAUUUUAUCCCAUUUUACCAUGUCCUGUGCUCUUAAUCAUGUUGGUGUGGUGGAAGUAUGACGUGAUGGUGAGCUGACAUGCAACUAGUCCUAACUCCAUGUUCUGUCUAUCCCAUUGGUAGCACGAGAUGGGCCAUGGUAGGGGUAUUAUUGCCACAGAAAUCAGCAAACAUCACCAACCAGGGCUUGAUUUAUUGCUUUGUUGACUGCAUGGGCUUAAAAAAAUGAGGAAGAAAAUGUUUAUAAUGCAGAUUAAAUUUAAAAGUCUGUUGUGUAUAUAGCUGUUACAUUAUGAAAUAGGGCUCCAAAAUGAGGAAAUAUUCUUCCAGUGUACAAAACCUAUUAUCUGAUUUAGCAAAGAAGUCACUUACCUCACUGAAAGCACGUCAAAUUCCAACAUCCAUCUUCAUUGUUUACUUUCACCUUACUCGCUAGCAUAAUUAUGAAAAUAUCAACCCAUAGUCAUGUCAGAAUCACAUUUGUACAUCUGCUGCAGUGCUAGGUUGGCUACAGAUAGGAGAUUUCAGCAAAAA
This is a non-coding RNA of Equus caballus (horse), 19892 nucleotides long. The record is from RefSeq and is a predicted model, not a curated record. Lineage: Eukaryota; Metazoa; Chordata; Mammalia; Perissodactyla; Equidae.